Molecule: ribosomal RNA, 465 nt
Filed under: uncultured bacterium
Lineage: Bacteria
Description: partial 16S ribosomal RNA
Rfam family: Bacterial small subunit ribosomal RNA
Source: RNAcentral
GACGAACGCUGGCGGCGUGCUUAACACAUGCAAGUCGAACGGAAAGGCCCUUCUGGGGCUACUUGCGCGGUGAACGGGUGAGUAAGAAGUGAGUAAUCAGCCCUAGAUAUCGUGCUUACUACCGGGAACUGGGGCUAAUAAAGGAUAGGUAUUCUCGCAGCAUGGUGGUUGUUGGAAAGCAUUGGCGGUAUUGGAUGGAUUCCCGGCUUACCAGCUUGUUGGUGGGGGAGUGACUUACCAAGGGAUUGACGGGUAGCCCGCCUGGGGGGGGGAACGGCGACAAUAGGACUGAGGUACGGCGCAGACUCGUACGGGCGGCAACAGUGGGGAGUAUUGCACAAUAGGCGGGCGCCUGUUGCGACGACGCCGCGUGCGGGAUGACCGCCUUCAGGUUGUGAACCGCUUUGAGCAGGGAAGAAGCAUGUGGUGACGGUACCUGCAGAAGAAGCACCGGCUAACUACGUG